Molecule: ribosomal RNA, 497 nt
Filed under: uncultured bacterium
Lineage: Bacteria
Description: partial 16S ribosomal RNA
Rfam family: Bacterial small subunit ribosomal RNA
Source: RNAcentral
GAUGAACGCUGGCGGCGUGCCUAAUACAUGCAAGUCGAGCGAACAGACGAGGAGCUUGCUCCUCUGACGUUAGCGGCGGACGGGUGAGUAACACGUGGAUAACCUAUCUAUAAGACUGGGAUAACUUCGGGAAACCGGAGCUAAUACCGGAUAAUAUAUUUAACCGCAUGGUUCAAUAGUGAAAUACGGUUUUGCAGUUACUUAUAGAUGGAUUCGCGCCGCAUUAGCUAGUUGGUAAGGUAACGGCUUACCAAGGCAACGAUGCGUAGCCGACCUGAGAGGGUGAUCGGCCACACUGGAGCUGAGACACGGUCCAGACUCCUACGGGAGGCAGCAGUAGGGAAUCUUCCGCAAGGGGCAGAAGCCUGACGGAGCAACGCCGCGUGAGUGAUGAAGGUCUUCGGAUCGUAAAACUCUAUUAUUAGGGAAGAACAAAUGUGUAAGUAACUAUGCACGUCUUGACGGUACCUAAUCAGAAAGCCACGGCUAACUACGUG